UAAAAACCCCGACUUCGGAAGGGGUGUAUUUAUUAGAUACAAAACCAAUGCCCUUCGGGGCUCUUUGGUGAUUCAUGAUAACUAUACGAAUCGCACGGCCUUGCGCCGGCGAUGGUUCAUUCAAAUUUCUUCCCUAUCAACUUUCGAUGUUUGGGUAUUGGCCAAACAUGGUUGCAACGGGUAACGGAGGGUUAGGGCUCGACCCCGGAGAAGGAGCCUGAGAAACGGCUACUACAUCCAAGGAAGGCAGCAGGCGCGCAAAUUACCCAAUCCCGACUCGGGGAGGUAGUGACAAUAAAUACUGAUACAGGGCCCUUUCGGGCCUUGUAAUUGGAAUGAGUACAAUUUAAAUCCCUUAACUAGGAACAAUUGGAGGGCAAGUCUGGUGCCAGCAGCCGCGGUAAUUCCAGCUCCAAUAGCGUAUAUUAAAGUUGUUGUGGGGGUUAAAACUCUUAGUUUAAAACCCUGGGCCUGGCUGGCCGGUCCGCGUCCAAAACGUGCGCCGGUCCUCCCGGUCUUUUCCAUCUAAGAGAACCCUAAACGGGGGCGGGGGGGGGGGGGGGGGCGGCAGGGGUG
Molecule: ribosomal RNA, 576 nt
Filed under: uncultured eukaryote
Lineage: Eukaryota
Description: partial 18S ribosomal RNA
Rfam family: Eukaryotic small subunit ribosomal RNA
Source: RNAcentral